Molecule: long non-coding RNA, 763 nt
Filed under: Felis catus (domestic cat)
Lineage: Eukaryota; Metazoa; Chordata; Mammalia; Carnivora; Felidae
Description: lncRNA (ENSFCAG00000042621.2)
Source: RNAcentral
GCCCCCGCGUGCGCCCAGCACGGAGGCACAGGGAACAGUGUUCAGGACAACAGGAAACAUGAUCUCCACCGUCGAGGAGCUGACAGCCUGCUGAGGGGGAGGACAGAGUCGACUAAGCCAGGACCACUCAGCGCAUGUGCCAGACAGGUCCUGGUUCUACUCCUGGGUGUACCCAGAACCUCCACAUCUCUCUCCUCACAGAUCCAGGACCUGCCGGGUUGUGUUGGAAGCUUCCACCAUGAGAUUUCGAAGGUUCUACUGCUUCUGUAUGAAAAGAGAGCCCAAGAAGGGACAGGCGAGCAGGCACUGGCCUGUGAGAUCCUCAUUCUCCUGCCUCAGCUAAGAAACGCUCCACCCACCAAUCCCUCUCCCUCCUCCUGUGUCCCCUUCCUUCUCUACCUUUCCUGGGAGGAUGCUGCAAGUGUCAGGCCUGGCCCCCAGGCAGGCUCUCAGCAGCUGGGAGCUCCCAUUGUGUAUGACAAAAACUUUGAGUGCCCACCGAGGGGAUUCCCGGCAGGAGGGAUCAGCCCCGCCUCUGGCAAGUGGAAUCUGGGCUGGGGGCCCACAGCAUCCAUGCCCCACCCCACCUGCCCAGCCAGGUCUGGCGGUGGCCCACUGGGCAGCUCCAUCCUGGGAAGAAGGUGGCUGUGCUCUCCUGAUCCACAAAGGCGCGUAGCCCUUUGGAGGUGAUUGAGGAUGCCGAUGACUAAUUGUGUCAGCAGUUGGUCUCAACUCGAGCCUUGUCCCGAUUAAAAUGGAAAUG